RNAcentral lists this ribosomal RNA (365 nucleotides) under uncultured eukaryote. Its description in RNAcentral is "partial 18S ribosomal RNA". It matches the Rfam family "Eukaryotic small subunit ribosomal RNA", at positions 592 to 976 of the family's 1831-position model. The record is from RNAcentral.
CAAUAGCGUAUAUUUAAGUUGUUGUAGUUAAAAAGCUCGUAGUCGGAUUUUGGCUGAGAACGAUCGGUCCGCCGUUAGGUGUGCACUGAUUGGUCUCAGCUUCCUGGUGAGGAGGUGUGCUUCACGGCCACUUAGUCACCGUGGUUACUUUGAAAAAAUUAGAGUGUUCAAAGCGGGCUUACGCUUGAAUAUAUUAGCAUGGAAUAACACCAUAGGACUCCUGUCCUAUUUCGUUGGUCUCGGGACGGGAGUAAUGAUUAAGAGGAACAGUUGGGGGCAUUCGUAUUUCAUUGUCAGAGGUGAAAUUCUUGGAUUUAUGAAAGACGAACUUCUGCGAAAGCAUUUGCCAAGGAUGUUUUCAUUAA